Molecule: ribosomal RNA, 459 nt
Filed under: uncultured bacterium
Lineage: Bacteria
Description: partial 16S ribosomal RNA
Rfam family: Bacterial small subunit ribosomal RNA
Source: RNAcentral
CCUACGGGAGGCUGCAGUGAGGAAUAUUGGUCAAUGGCCGCAGGGCUGAACCAGCCAAGUCGCGUGAGGGAUGACGGUCCUAUGGAUUGUAAACCUCUUUUGUCAGGGAGCAAAGGGCGCCACGUGUGGCGCUUUGCGAGUACCUGAAGAAAAAGCAUCGGCUAACUCCGUGCCAGCAGCCGCGGUAAUACGGAGGAUGCGAGCGUUAUCCGGAUUUAUUGGGUUUAAAGGGUGCGCAGGCGGAAUGUCAAGUCAGCGGUAAAAUUUCGGGGCUCAACCCCGUCGUGCCGUUGAGACUGGCGUUCUUGAGUGCGCGAGAAGUAUGCGGAAUGCGUGGUGUAGCGGUGAAAUGCAUAGAUAUCACGCAGAACUCCGAUUGCGAAGGCAGCAUACCGGCGCUCAACUGACGCUCAUGCACGAAAGCGUGGGUAUCGAACAGGAUUAGAUACCCCUGUAGUC